GGGGUGGAGCUCGUAGGUUCCGUUGGCGAUAUUAACUUCUACACAAUAUGCAUAUGCAGAUAGUUCAAAUUUCCAUGCUCCCACAUGUAGGAUGCAAGACAUGAAUUAUUGUUGAAGUGUAAGUUGCAUUUCGAUCACAUUCACCUAAACAAGGUUCUAGAUUUUCAUUUUCUUCAUGAAGUAAGGUGUGUUGUGGUAUAAAACUUGGGGUUGAAACUUUAACAGUGGGUUGAAUGUGUGUGACACAGACUUGGAUGAAUUAUUCAUGAUUUUUAGUGAAGGACAACUAUUUCCUAUAUUUAUCUACUAUUUAUCUUUCCACAAAAAGAAAGGCAUGCUUCACAAAGUUUCAUUCAGUGUUUCAUAUUUUUCCUAAGAACUUUACUUCAGAACUAAGCUACUCCAAGUGGUUUCACAUUUUUCUCUACUCCGGAUUAAAUCUUAUGCAAAAAGAAAGAUUUAACCCUAGGUUUCAAAGAUAAAGUCAAAACAAUGAUUUAAGGUUCUACACCAGGUUCCUAACUAUUUUUCCAAGCUUCUACUCACUAGAACAAACACUUU
This 561-nucleotide long non-coding RNA is filed under the name Setaria viridis. RNAcentral describes it as "long non-coding RNA (SVIR_LNC005691)". The record is from RNAcentral. Lineage: Eukaryota; Viridiplantae; Streptophyta; Magnoliopsida; Poales; Poaceae.